UACGAAGGGGGCUAGCGUUGCUCGGAAUCACUGGGCGUAAAGCGCACGUAGGCGGAUCGUUAAGUCAGGGGUGAAAUCCUGGAGCUCAACUCCAGAACUGCCUUUGAUACUGAAAGUCUUGAGUAUGGGAGAGGUGAGUGGAACUGCGAGUGUAGAGGUGAAAUUCGUAGAUAUUCGCAAGAACACCAGUGGCGAAGGCGGCUCACUGGCCCAUAACUGACGCUGAGGCACGAAAGCGUGGGGAGCAAACAGG
This 253-nucleotide ribosomal RNA is filed under the name uncultured bacterium. RNAcentral's name for it is "partial 16S ribosomal RNA". It matches the Rfam family "Bacterial small subunit ribosomal RNA", at positions 524 to 776 of the family's 1533-position model. The record is from RNAcentral.